This 398-nucleotide ribosomal RNA is filed under the name uncultured bacterium. Its description in RNAcentral is "bacterial SSU rRNA". It matches the Rfam family "Bacterial small subunit ribosomal RNA", at positions 30 to 429 of the family's 1533-position model. The record is from RNAcentral.
AUUGAACGCUGGCGGCAUGCCUUACACAUGCAAGUCGAACGGCAGCACGGGAGCAAUCCUGGUGGCGAGUGGCGAACGGGUGAGUAAUAUAUCGGAACGUGCCCAGUCGUGGGGAUAACGUAGCGAAAGCUACGCUAAUACCGCAUACGAUCUAUGGAUGAAAGCGGGGGGAUCGCAAGACCUCGCGCGAUUGGAGCGGCCGAUAUCAGAUUAGGUAGUUGGUGAGGUAAAGGCUCACCAAGCCGACGAUCUGUAGCUGGUCUGAGAGGACGACCAGCCACACUGGGACUGAGACACGGCCCAGACUCCUACGGAGGCAGCAGUGGGGAAUUUUGGGACAAUGGGCGCAAGCCUGAUCCAGCAAUGCCGCGUGCAGGAUGAAGGCCUUCGGUUGUAAC